RNAcentral lists this ribosomal RNA (261 nucleotides) under uncultured bacterium. Its description in RNAcentral is "partial 16S ribosomal RNA". It matches the Rfam family "Bacterial small subunit ribosomal RNA", at positions 524 to 776 of the family's 1533-position model. The record is from RNAcentral.
UACAGGAGGGUGCGAGCGUUGUCCGGAAUCACGUGGGCGUAAAGGGCGCGUAGGUGGUGGCUUAAGCGUGCCGGGUGGAAAGCUCGGGGCUCAACCCCGAGUCGGCCGUGCGAACGUGGGCUCACUGGAGCAUAGUAGAGGCAGGUGGAAUUCCGGGUGUAGCGGUGGAAUGCGUAGAGAUCCGGAAGAACACCGGUGGCGAAGGCGGCCUGCUGGGCUAUGGCUGACACUGAGGCGCGGACAGCGUGGGGAGCAAACAGG